GUCUGGGAUAGGGCCAGAAAUUCUACAUUUCUAACAAGCUUCCAAGGAUGUGGGUGCUGAUGAUCUACAGACCUUACUUUGCUCAGCAGACCAUCAAACAACCAAAGGGUUUUAUGGAGAAAUGACCCAUGAAAAACAAUUCCCUGCUUCUACCAGAACAAACUUGCUGGACGUGGAUGGCCCCAUCUAGAUGGCCGAGAGCUGGAAGUUGCACCCUGUGAUCAUGAAGGAAGUUGCUGUGGUCCGUACAUCAAACUGGAAUGGUCAAUUGACACUUUCCAAUCCUCUGAUUUACCCUCACCAAUGGAGAUAUCCAAAUCACCACCACUUUAAGGCUUCAUUCCUCCUGGCUUCUACAUGUGGGAAGGACCAGAAGAAUGGGCUUUAUAUACACCCAAGCUGCAGGGAACGAAAUUUUGAGCCAAGGCAUGCCCAUCAACACAUU
Molecule: long non-coding RNA, 445 nt
Filed under: Zalophus californianus (California sea lion)
Lineage: Eukaryota; Metazoa; Chordata; Mammalia; Carnivora; Otariidae
Description: lncRNA (ENSZCAG00015000333.1)
Source: RNAcentral